Pan troglodytes (chimpanzee) is the source of this 1534-nucleotide long non-coding RNA. RefSeq lists it as uncharacterized. Lineage: Eukaryota; Metazoa; Chordata; Mammalia; Primates; Hominidae. The record is from RefSeq and is a predicted model, not a curated record. The transcript is spliced from 6 exons.
GCCGCCCCGGGGCCGGAGGGCCUGGAGGGCCCUGGAGGAGCGGGCUGCGUUCUGCGUCUCUCCGCGAUCUCUGCCGCCGAUCUAAUUUUUUAAUUUUUUGUAGAGACAGGGUCUCACUGUGUUGCCCAGGCUUGUUUUGAUCUCCUGGGCUCAAAUGAUCCUCCUGCUUUAGGCCUCCCAAAGAGAACAGUGAUUACAGGUGUAAACUGCCAUGUCCAACCCUACUAUUUCAUUCCUGCAGAAACCACAAUAAAGGGACAUGCCCUCAGUUGCCCUAUCUCCCUCUGCCUCAUGACUGACCGCGGUGCGUGACCUGAGUGGCCUUGUGUGGCCUGCUGCUUUCUCCCCAGUGAACUGUGAAUUACUAAUUGAGGCAUGUUUUGUGACUAUGGCAGAGGCAAAAAAGUACAAACAAUUUCAAAAUUGUCUCUCCUGAUGCCUAGCCUUUGGUUGUGACAGAGGGCCUCUGGAGCAUCCAGAAAAGAGGUUGCAUUUGGAGAAAAUGGUUGAUUCCCUUUAAGGAAUCAAGGUUAGCCUGCAGAGCUAAUAAAAGCCCCUUGGGAAAACUUGCCUGAUACCUUGUCUACAUACUCUCUGUACAGGAUUGCUAAUCUGUGGCUAUCAAGCUCCAAACGCUAAUGCAAAUAAAACCACACAUGGACGUGCCUUUUAUCCAAGGACCCCCAGACCAGCCCCAGGAGGAAACCUAGCUGCUGUUCCCCUCACAACACCUUUCUCCAGUAGUAUCAUCACCCCACCUACCUAACAGAAGUUAGGGUCUCCACCCCUGAAGGGGAGAAUGAGAGAGAACAAAGAAAGAAACUGGUCAGUCAGGCAGUUUGGGUGGAUCCUUGGUUGAAUUCUUUCAAGCAAAAGAACAGCCUGAAAACUCAAGCUCCAGGCACAGAUAAGGGAACUUGCACAGGGGAGCUUGCCUAGGACAUGCCCACAGCUGCAUAGAUAAGAAAGGCUACACAGGUGACUUGCCCAGACAUCUCUGCAAUGGAAAAUUCCAUCCCCUAACACAUGUGCAGUAAGGGGAACAAAGCAAUAUGGAGUAACUCAAGCUAAGGGCCCUCGUGCACACUGGGAGGACAAAGUGGAGCUACCAGAAAUUCACACCUUAUGCAAAUGAGACAUCCAGCCUUCAUUUUUUUUUUUUUUUUUUUUUUGAUAUAAAAGCCUUUGCAUUCAACUGUAAAAAUGGCAACCCUCUUCUGGGUCCCCUCUCUGUACCAGAGAGCUUUCUUCUUUCACUUACUAAACUUUCACUCCAACCUUACCCUUUGAUUCCACACUCCUUAAUUCUCUUGGUCAUCAGACAAAGAACUCUGAGUGAUACCUCACAGUUAAAGACUGCUACAUUGUGGUGCAUUGGCAAGACUGUUACAUCAUGAGGGAUGGCUAUUGUAUAUCUUACUCUUCAAUUCUGUGAGAUCUCUGUUUCUACAAUAAUACUGUGAUCUGUGAAACAGGUUUGGUAUGUCUUUGUUUUCUGUAUUUGUAAAAAAUAAAAAUAAUGAAGAAAGGCUUC